RNAcentral lists this ribosomal RNA (292 nucleotides) under uncultured bacterium. Its description in RNAcentral is "partial 16S ribosomal RNA". It matches the Rfam family "Bacterial small subunit ribosomal RNA", at positions 505 to 796 of the family's 1533-position model. The record is from RNAcentral.
GUGCCAGCCGCCGCGGUAAUACAGAGGUGGCAAGCGUUGUUCGGAAUUACUGGGCGUAAAGGGCGCGUAGGCGGUUUGUCAAGUCCCGUGUGAAAGCCCUCGGCUCAACCGAGGAACGGCGCGGGAAACUAGCAGGCUUGAGUUCGGGAGAGGGAAGCGGAAUUCCGGGUGUAGCGGUGAAAUGCGCAGAUAUCCGGAGGAACACCGGUGGCGAAGGCGGCUUCCUGGACCGACACUGACGCUGAGGCGCGAAAGCUAGGGGAGCAAACGGGAUUAGAAACCCUCGUAGUCC